RNAcentral lists this ribosomal RNA (774 nucleotides) under uncultured Neocallimastigales. Its description in RNAcentral is "partial large subunit ribosomal RNA". It matches the Rfam family "Eukaryotic large subunit ribosomal RNA", at positions 20 to 616 of the family's 3401-position model. The record is from RNAcentral. Lineage: Eukaryota; Fungi; Neocallimastigomycota; Neocallimastigomycetes; Neocallimastigales.
UACUAGAGUAGCACUCGCAUAUCAAUAAGCGGAGGAAAAGAAACUAACAAGGAUUCCCCUAGUAACGGCGAGUGAAGCGGGAAGAGCUCAAAUUUGAAAUCUUAAAGGGUUUCCCUUUACGAAUUGUAGUUUAAAGAAGUGUUUUCUGUUGAGGUUUUGGUAAAAGUUCUUUGGAAUAGGACAUCAUAGAGGGUGAGAAUCCCGUAUUUGACCUUUACUUUCAACUUUGUGAUACACUUUCAAAGAGUCGGAUUGUCUGGGAAUGCAGUCCAAAAUGGGUGGUAAAUUUCAUCUAAAGCUAAAUAUUGGCGAGAGACCGAUAGCGAACAAGUACCGUGAGGGAAAGAUGAAAAGAACUUUGAAAAGAGAGUUAAACAGUACGUGAAAUUGUCAAAAGGGAAGCGUUUGACACCAAUGUUGUUUUUCUGAAAAUCAAUUAAAGAACUGUUUAUGCUAAGCUGUUUAGACUUUAUCAGCUAUCUGUUUAGUUUUGAGCUUUUCUUUAAUGCACUUUUCAGUUAACAAGUCAACAUCAAUUUCUUUUGCUGUAAAAAAGCUUGAGGAAGGUGGCUUGAGAUUCGUCUUAAGUGUUUAUAGCCUCUUGCCUAUGCAGUCGGAGAGAUUGAGGUCUGCAGCGUAGAUCCUUCGGGGCUAAAUGCAUUUGUGCUAAGUUAUAGCAUUUUAUAGACAACUUGUUGACUAUGAUUUGUCUUGUAGCUUACUCGCUUAUGUUAUUUUACCUACGCUUAGGAUGUUGAGCGCAUGUCUCUCUCU